RNAcentral lists this ribosomal RNA (253 nucleotides) under uncultured bacterium. RNAcentral's name for it is "partial 16S ribosomal RNA". It matches the Rfam family "Bacterial small subunit ribosomal RNA", at positions 524 to 776 of the family's 1533-position model. The record is from RNAcentral.
UACGUAGGGAGCAAGCGUUGUCCGGAAUCAUUGGGCGUAAAGGGCUCGUAGGCGGUCCAUCACGUCGGGAGUGAAAAGCUGGGGCUUAACCCCAGUCCUGCUUCCGAUACGGGUGGACUAGAGGUAGGCAGGGGAGAACGGAAUUCCUGGUGUAGCGGUGAAAUGCGCAGAUAUCAGGAGGAACACCGGUGGCGAAGGCGGUUCUCUGGGAAUGUCCUGACGCUGAGGAGCGAAAGUGUGGGGAGCGAACAGG